GCAUCCUUAUGAGAAGAGGGAGAGAGAAGACCAUGUGAGGACACAGUGGGAAGGCCGCUGUCUGCAAGCCAGGCAGGGAGCUCUCCCCGGAAACGGAACCUGCUGGCACCGUGAUCUUGGCCUCCAGCCUCCAGCACCCCGAGAGAUGAGUGCUAUGAAACUGCUGCCGGGAACAAGAGAGCAGACUCAUAUGGAGAUGCAGAGGAAGCCUUUCUCGCUGGUCACCUGGGCUCGGGGUUUCCUGCUAGUUUCAAACGGCUGGGAGUAGCGAAAUCUAUGGUUGCGUUUUACCAUCUCCUCCCAAACUCUCCCUGAGGAUUGUUGAAAUGCAGCCCAGAGACGGAGACUGAGGCUCUGGGAGGUGAGGCGACCUGUGCAAGAUCACACAACUCGUCAACACAUCAAAAGGCCACUUCAGUCAACACAGUCAGGAUUCUGACGACCUCCGGCUUUACGUGAUUCAUAUGGAUGGGAUUUUUUUUUUAAUAUGUCGAAGAUUUCUACCAAGUUUGGGCUAAUUCUUCUCCACUUCACUUCGUAACAACAUUCAAGCUACGCUGCACUUGUCUCUGUCCAGCUCCCUACUGCUUCAGCCAGAGGAAACUGAGUCCGAGAGAGACGAUGGAGGGGAGAGCCAGCGCAGCACAGGCUGGGCUGCCCACCCCCUAGAAGAUGAAAUGCUAUGGCUGGAAUUACUUCAAAAUAAUCCAGAUUUGGGAGAGGAGAGAAUGGAUGGGGACAAAGAUCAGACACGACUGGUCACACACUGAUCCCUGUUGACAUUGCACACGGUGCUCCUUACAUUAUUCUGUUUGCAUAUGUUUGAAACUUCCC
RNAcentral lists this long non-coding RNA (834 nucleotides) under Equus caballus (horse). RNAcentral's name for it is "lncRNA (ENSECAG00000054117.1)". Lineage: Eukaryota; Metazoa; Chordata; Mammalia; Perissodactyla; Equidae. The record is from RNAcentral.